GAUGAACGCUGGCGGCGUGCUUAAUACAUGCAAGUCGAACGGAAAUUGUAGCAAUACAAUUUUAGUGGCGAACGGGUGAGUAACGCGUUGGUGACCUGCCCCGAAGAGAGGGAUAACAGUCCGAAAGGAUUGCUAAUACCUCAUGUUGUUGCCGGGUUUAGAAGCUGGCAACUAAAGGCGUAAGCCACUUUGGGAGGGACCUGCGUCCCAUCAGCUAGUUGGUGAGGUAACGGCCCACCAAGGCGAUGACGGGUAGGGGACCUGAGAGGGUGGCCCCCCACAAUGGUACUGAAACACGGACCAUACACCUACGGGUGGCAG
This 321-nucleotide ribosomal RNA is filed under the name uncultured Chloroflexota bacterium. Its description in RNAcentral is "bacterial SSU rRNA". It matches the Rfam family "Bacterial small subunit ribosomal RNA", at positions 28 to 351 of the family's 1533-position model. Lineage: Bacteria; Bacillati; Chloroflexota. The record is from RNAcentral.